Molecule: ribosomal RNA, 492 nt
Filed under: uncultured bacterium
Lineage: Bacteria
Description: partial 16S ribosomal RNA
Rfam family: Bacterial small subunit ribosomal RNA
Source: RNAcentral
AGUGAACGCUGGCGGUAGGCCUAACACAUGCAAGUCGAACGGCAGCACAGUAAGAGCUUGCUCUUACGGGUGGCGAGUGGCGGACGGGUGAGGAAUACAUCGGAAUCUACUUUUUCGUGGGGGAUAACGUAGGGAAACUUACGCUAAUACCGCAUACGACCUACGGGUGAAAGCAUGGGAUCUUCUGACCUUGCGCGAUUGAAUGAGCCGAUGUCGGAUUAGCUAGUUGGCGGGGUAAAGGCCCACCAAGGCGACGAUCCGUAGCUGGUCUGAGAGGAUGAUCAGCGACACUGGAACUGAGACACGGUCCAGACUCCUACGGGAGGCAGCAGUGGGGAAUAUUGGACAAUGGGCGCAAGCCUGAUCCAGCCAUACCGCGUGGGUGAAGAAGGCCUUCGGGUUGUAAAGCCCUUUUGUUGGGAAAGAAAAGCAGCAGGUUAAUACCCCGCUGUUCUGACGGUACCCAAAGAAUAAGCACCGGCUAACUUCGUG